Molecule: transfer RNA, 59 nt
Filed under: Taenia crassiceps
Lineage: Eukaryota; Metazoa; Platyhelminthes; Cestoda; Cyclophyllidea; Taeniidae
Description: tRNA-Ser
Source: RNAcentral
ACUUAUGAUAUACGUUUGAUUUGAAAUCAUACUUAUGGCUUUUGUUACCAACAUGGGUU